This 2481-nucleotide long non-coding RNA is filed under the name Amborella trichopoda. RNAcentral describes it as "long non-coding RNA (ATRI_LNC003310)". Lineage: Eukaryota; Viridiplantae; Streptophyta; Magnoliopsida; Amborellales; Amborellaceae. The record is from RNAcentral.
GAAGAACCUGGAAUGCUGCGACCAUAGGCCUGGCACCCAGAGUUGGGUCCGGAUUAGAUAGCGAAGAUGAGUCCUUACUCCUCGAUCUUCAAGUUGAUCAUCUUGAUUGAACGAAAGUACCCCGAGGAUGAGUGGCUCCUAGGAACCCUUACAUCUAGCGCUCUUGAUUGACUGAAAACGACUUAUUUAAUUUAUGAGGCUGCUCCAGGGUCUUAGAACUAGGGUUUGGAGACCAAGGUCUAGGAUUUGAGGGCUACAGGGUCUCUAUAAUUUUAGGGUUAGGGUUUUUGAUAGGGUUUCUCCCUACUGGAAUGACUUGAAAAUUUAUGUAUAGAGGCAAAAUACACUCCAAAAUAGGAAGGCGGUGGUCCGAACCAUUACGAAGGUGCCACAUAAUCCGCACUGCAUUUUCAAUGCAUGCCUUCUACCCUUUGCACCACAUAUUGUAGCAUCCUGCUUAGGAAGGUCUGAACGACAUUUCUGCCCAGAUACAGGAGAUCUUGUACUGAUACACAAAUUCCUCCAUCGUGUGAUGUACUGGGUGCGGGAUUCAUCUUCCAUUUGUUAGGGGAUUCAUCUUCCCUUCGUUGUGUUGUGAUGAGCUCUAUAGCUGGGACAUCCGUCUGAGUGCUAUAGAAACACGAGUAAAACAACUCCUCCAUUUGUUCCCAUGAGUUGACCGAAUUCGGGGGCAGUCGGGGAAUAUCAGGAAUACCAAGAGAAGGCCGCACUUGUUAAUGACCGGAUGAAUUGAUGUAAUAGCAACCGUUUGUCCGAGGCUCUAGAAGUAAAGUCGGCUAUGAAUGAGAAACAUGUUCUUGUGGGGAACCAGUCCCCUGUAAAUUUUCGAAGGUCGGGAGUUGAUACCUUGGAGGGAACGACAUAUCAUCCAUACAAGACAAGUACAACUUCUGAUAAAUUUCCAGCAGUCUGGAUCCUUGGACUUGUAUGGAUUGGAUAUCAGUUGCAGUCACAGUGGGUGAGCUAGACGCAGGUGCAGUGACUUGCAUGGCUGCCUGUGCAACCAGGGUUGAAGCUCCCAUAAGGAGCACGGAUUAUCACAUAUGCAUAUGGUUAAAGCUAAUCAUGCUUAACAUAGAUGUCAAAAACUUGAAAAUAUAUGGUUAUUAUGAAAUAAAUAAGAUGUUGCUUGACUAAGUGGGAAGUGGUUGUGGCGAGGUCAUCAUCAAGUAUGCUGUUUCCUCAAAAGUAUUUUAAAAACCGCACAAGCUGCCAAAAAAUUGAACACGUGGCAAAAAUUGAACACAUGGCAGCUUUUUGUUGGGAGCUGGCCAGAUCUUUUUUUUCUGUGAAACUGGAUGGGUAUGGAGGAUACCCGAUCCGGAUCGCUCGAUCCCGGAUCGGGACACUGAUUUUUAAAACACAGGUUCUGACUUCUAUAUAUAAUAAAACUUACAAAUUAUAUGCAAAAUCUCAAAUAGCACAGUGGCAGAUUUUACCUUCUUAAGAGGUCCAAGGACCAAUUCCUAGUAGAUUCAUUUUUGGUUUCCAAGACAGGAUGACGGUUGAUACUUAAAAGAGUGUCUUUCAUUUAGCCGCACACUUAUAGAUGAAGUGCCAGCCCAUAUAGAUGAAGUGUCCGUCGAUGUUGGGUAGUUUCAACACAUGUCACCAAGCCAAAAAAAAAUGUCUAGGAACCUUGUCUAUUGGGAUCACAAAAUUUCACAUAUGACCUAACACUACAACAACGAUUGCAUAUUUAAUAUCUACAAGGAAGUUUUAUAUUCCUUCCAAGUAUUUAACUCAUCCCUCUAAAUUCAUGGCUACAAUAACCAUAAGCAUAUGAAGACACUUAAUAUAAAUCAUUGAGAUACCACUCAGGCUCUGUGAAAUUCAAAUUUGCAACUAGAUUUAAAGAUUUUCCUCGUAUUCUUGUUUUGCUUCCAACAGCAUUUUAACCAGGAGGUAUGAGCGUGCAGUUCCAUACACAUUAUUGUUUUUGAGGGGAAGAAUUUCCUUUCAUAACCAGUAGUCCGCUACCGAGACAAAGCCACUUUAUAUGUGGGAGUGCCAGUAGAAGAUAGGAACACAUGAAGCUUAGUAAAGGACCCAUAAAAGACACUGUGAUGACAAAUGGUGACAAAUUGACUUUUGACAGGUUCUGCCAACAAGGAUAACAUAUGGCAGAGGGCUGCUUUACACCAGCCACAGCCUAUGAGGUCAUUCCAUCCCUGCAUGAACAAUAUAGCUCUUUCGGAAGACCACAGACUGAAAGGAGAGAAGGAAGGAUGGCACUUAAGAGUUGUAACACAAACUCAAAAUAGGAUACAAAGACAGCAAUCUAUACAGUGAUGUAUAUACUCGAGACCCAUUCAAUAAUCAUCAUAACCAAGAAAAUGGCAAAGAUUCAUGUCAGAUUAAGUCAGAGAAGAAAGUAAGACAAGUGACCAAGCUAAUAAUCAGCUAGUCCAGUGAUUGUGUUGUAGUUUCACAUAUUGGAAGGAGUAUCCAAAAUUGUCG